Molecule: ribosomal RNA, 253 nt
Filed under: uncultured bacterium
Lineage: Bacteria
Description: partial 16S ribosomal RNA
Rfam family: Bacterial small subunit ribosomal RNA
Source: RNAcentral
GACAGAGGGGGCGAGCGUUGUCCGGAGUCACUGGGCGUAAAGCGCGCGCAGGCGGACGCCAAAGUGGGGUGUGAAAUCCCCCGGCUCAACCGCGGGAGGCCAUGGCAAACUGGGCGUCUGGAGCGGCGGAGAGGCCCCUCGAAUUGCCGGUGUAGAGGUGAAAUGCGUAGAGAUCGGCAGGAAGACCAGUGGGGAAGGCAGGGGGCUGGCCGCUGGCUGACGCUGAGGAGCGACAGCGUGGGGAGCGAACCGG